UAGAACAUGAUAAUGUUUGGUGCCAUUAUUAGAGAUAAUGGUAGCUUUAUUUGGUGGGAUGAAUCAUCAUGAGCUAGCAUUCAUGUUUCUUCAUUAUCUCUCUCAUUUCUAAACGAAAUUUCGAGAUUCCAAAUCCUAUGAACUCCUAGAAAAUUUCUAAGUGUGGACUAAUUAGAGGCAUCACAAUUGGGGUGCUUUAAGGAUCUCAGAUCGUGGCAAAACAGAAGCUGUUCGUGCAGAGCUGUAUUUUCUGGACAGUGUUCGUUGCUUGCUGUUUUCAGUCAUUUUCUCCUACUUCACGAAGUCGUUUUCGAAACUGCAAGUGAGGUAAUUAAACUUCAAUCUUUCUUCUUGAUUUUAGUUUUUGAAUGAAGCUGAUCCGAGGUUUCUAGAGCUUCCGCCAUCCGUUUUAUUUUUACUGCACAAAAGUUGCGAUUUUAGGAAUCUCAUGGACAAAUGUUGUCCUUCAAGUGGUAUCAGAGCCAUCUUCAUUCAAUUUCGAAUUUUUGAAGCAUGAUAUAUGUUAUUUCCAUUUAUAAUAGCAUGAAGGAUGAUCAUGGAAAGAUCUGGAUAUUUUAUGAUAUAUUUAUGUCAUGUGAUGAUUGAAUAUAUGCGUGAUUGAAUGAGCUAUUGAUUUAUUUGUUGAUUUGGCCGAUUUCUAAAGGCUUAAAUGGUUGUAAUAUUUUUAAAUAGGGACUUGCAUGUCUCUGCUUCUAUUAAGAUCUGAUUGUAUCCCAUUACCCUAAAUUUGUACCCCAAUUCUUCUAAAUAUGUAAUUUCUACAAGUGAGUGAGGAGGGACGGCGAAUUUACGAUGCCUUGGAGGUUGGAGCAAGAAGUCUUUAUGGAUCGUUGCAGCACUUCCAAUGAUAUUUUGGCCAUUCAAAUAGAAAUUAAUAAUUGUAAUAAUUUGAGGCAUGAGAUGUCUCAUAAUCAUUAUUGUUUGCUUGAUACCUAGGUGGACCUUAAAACCAAUUUUGGCUCAAAUUGGUUUUAUUAGAAAAUUCCAUGAUCAUCCUUAGUUGGUGUGUCUAUAAUAUGCAUGAGAUGUAUAUUAGGGUGCUUAGACAUAUUUGAAUUUAGAAAAUGGAAUAACAUGCUAAAAAGUGAGACCAUAAUAAUGACCAAAUACUCCCUUAUUAAAUAAACAUAAUUAUUGUUAAGUUGUAAUGAUGAAUAUUGAGAAUAUCCAUCAUGGCCUACUAAUACCAAUGGAAUAUUUAAAAUAUUUUAUGCUUGGGCUAGUUGUCAUGGAUACAUGGGCUACUCAUUCAUUAAAAUGUUGAAAACAAACCAUAUAUCAUGCGAUGAUGCGUGAUUCAUACAUUAAGCUACCAAUAACUGUUAGGUGAGGUUAGUAAGAUGUUUUGAAAUAUGCAAGGGUAUUAGGGUAAACUUAACUAAAUCAUUUAUACUAAGAACUGUUAGGUGAGGUAUUAAUGAUUUAGAGGCCGAAGGAUAAUCGGUACAUGCAUGAGAUGCAUUUGGUAAGAGUUACCUACUCAUUAUAAUAAGUAAGCCAAGAACUGUUAGGUAAGGUAAACUUAUGCUAAUGAGAAUCCAAUUCCUACUAGAAACUUUUACCAAUGAGAGUUUCUGUUUCUUACAUAUGGGAGUGUAAUGAAAUGAUAAAAUAGUGGGAGGUACUAUUUGGUUUAAAGACCAAAAUCAAAUAGAUUAUAAUAAAAUAAAAUGCUAAUAAUUUAAUUUAUAUUUUCUGCAGAAAUAUUUAAUAAUGAAUAAUUCGUUGGCACGAAUUCUGGAAAACUAC
RNAcentral lists this long non-coding RNA (1770 nucleotides) under Citrus sinensis (sweet orange). RNAcentral's name for it is "long non-coding RNA (CSIN_LNC005410)". The record is from RNAcentral. Lineage: Eukaryota; Viridiplantae; Streptophyta; Magnoliopsida; Sapindales; Rutaceae.